UUAUUAGGUUUUUUUUUUUUUUUUUAAUUGAAAUUUAUCUGGUUUAUUGAAAUAUAUAUAAUGUAUCAGGUGUGUCUAGUAUUGACAUGUGAUGGUUGAUUUUUCAUAUACUUUUUCAGCAUUUUUAGGAAUUGGUUUAUAUGUGUGGUAAGAUUAGAUGGGAUAUGAUUAUAAAUGACAGCAUCAGAGAGAGUUGGGGUAACAGCCAUAGUAGAAAAGAUGGUAGAAACUAGAGGUAGAGAAUCUAUUAAGAAGGAUCUAGAGAUUAAUGAGUUUGAGAAAGACAUGGUUUUUGAUGUAACACUAUGGCGUUGUUUAAUUGAUGCAGCUGACCGACCACACUUAGGGUCUGUUUGGUAAACCCAAAAAAAGAGCUUUUAGCUCUUAGCUUAUAGCUUAUAAGCUCGUUUCACAAAAAAAGUUCUGUUUGGUAACACUUUUUGACCAUGAGCUUAUAGCUUAUUUCACGAGCUUAUAAGCUAUUUUUCAGAAGCUAUUCCAAGUAGCGUUUGAGCUUAUAGCUUAUAGCUUCUCAUUUUUUGUCUCAUUUUUACCCUUAUCAAUUUAACAAAAAUUCAUAUCUACCCUUUGUAAUAAAUAACUACGUUGAAGAAAAACAUAGCACUUUUAAUCCCAGAUUUCACUUUAACUAAAUAUAUUUGCUCACGCUUUUAUUUAUUUUUACAAAAUAUUUGCUCAUGUUUACAAAAAUAAAAACUACAUUUUUUCUUAAAUAAUAUAUGUUACGUUUGCCUAAAUAAAUCAUAUUACGUUAUGCUUAAUUUUGUUUGAUUUUGGGUCAAUACGUUUAAUUUUGUUUUAGUGGGUAACAAUUAAUUUUUUUUUAAAGGUUUUGUUUAAUUUUUUUAUAAAGUCUAAAAACUGAAAUAAAAUCAAUUUUAAAUAAAACAUUAGCCAAUUUAUGAAUUUAAAAAUAACAUAUGAAAGACAUAUUAGAUUAAUAUAUUUAAACUAUGAAAUUUUAAAUAUUUUAAAUAUCAAUUGAUACAAAUUUUAUAAUGAAUUAAAAAUACCCUUUUAUGUCAUUUUACGUUUAUAAGCUAGUUGAACCGCUAAUUUUACCAAACACUUCAGUUAGCUUAUCAGCUAUCAGCUAGCUUAUCAGCUAAAAGCUAUCAGCUAGCUUAUCAGCUAAACGCUAUCAGCUAGCUUAUAAGCUAUCCGCUAUUUUUACCAAACAGAGCCUUAGUGGGAAAAAACUUGGUUGUUGUUGUUAAGGAACUGGUUUUCUACAUGUAUGGAUUAGUUUAGAGUUUAGACUAUAUAUAAUUUUGUUGGGUUAAGGAUAGAGAGAUAUUUUAGUUGCUAUCUUGCACAUCUCAUUUUUUAUUUAGCUACCUUUUAGGCUUUGUUUGAGAGUUUGAAGGGGAGUGUGAGGGCUUUGGGGGGAGAGGAACAGAGGAUAAAAUAGAGAAAUCUUACACGUUUUUGAAAGGGUGUUUUUGUAGAGAAUGAUAAAUGAAUGUUUAUGAUUAAUAUAUUUUUAAUAUUGAAAUAUGAGAAUAUUACAACAACAUAGAUUGAAUUUGAAGAUUUUGAAAUCUUCCUCCAAUGCAAUGUUUGAGUUCCUUCAAAUUAGGAGGAUUUUGAAUUAUGAAAGAAAAAAAAACCCUUUCAAAGCCCUCCCAUUCCGAAGUCUUCUAUUCCUUCCACUUGCUCCUUCCUUUUUUCCAAAGCCCUCCCCUCCCUUCCCUUCCCUUCCCUUCCCUUC
Molecule: long non-coding RNA, 1732 nt
Filed under: Medicago truncatula (barrel medic)
Lineage: Eukaryota; Viridiplantae; Streptophyta; Magnoliopsida; Fabales; Fabaceae
Description: long non-coding RNA (MTRU_LNC002713)
Source: RNAcentral